Molecule: ribosomal RNA, 951 nt
Filed under: Triticum aestivum (bread wheat)
Lineage: Eukaryota; Viridiplantae; Streptophyta; Magnoliopsida; Poales; Poaceae
Description: partial small subunit ribosomal RNA
Source: RNAcentral
AUGGUAUAUCCUGGUAGUAGUACUAGUAGAAUUGAGAUUGAAUGCACUUUCUUCCCCGUCUUCCACUCUUCUUCCUCCUCUCUUCUUCUUCCUCCUCUCUUCCCCAUCGUCAGUCGCACACCAUUUACCCCCGCUCACUGCUCGCCCACCCGCGCCAUCUUCCUUGUACCAUAUAACUGGAAUUACCGAUGCAAGUCGAAGAAGGAUUGGCCGGUGCUGCCGGCUGGCGUCAAGUUCGAUCCCACGGAUCAGGAGCUGGUCGAGCACCUUGAGGCCAAAGUGAGUGCUGACAGCGCGAGAUUUCAGUCUCUCAUCGAUUUGUUCAUACCAACCAUCGACAGCGAGCACGGCAUAUGCUACACCCAACCUGAGAAACUUCCAGUCGGAGUGCGGCAUGCACGCGAUGUGGCACAAGACCGGCAAUACCUUGCCGGUGAUGGUCAACGGCCGGCAAGACGGGCAGAAAAAAAGGUUCUGGUGCUGCACACCAACAAGAACUUCGACCAGCAGAGGACCAACUGGGUGAUGCACCAGUACCACCUCAGGGACCUGGAGCAAGAGAAGGAGCGGGAGCUGGUCCUCUGCAAGAUUUUCUACCAGAUGAACACUAGGGCCAGGAGUAAAAAGAUUAUAAGUCGAGCAAGUUUCAACUGGGCUGUAGACUGCCAAGGGUUGGUUUUGUUUUUAACAGGCCCAACCCAUGACAACAACGGGGCACAAAGAUCCAGCAGUUCAACUCGACAGCUGAACCGACCUAACUUUUCCCCAAUUGUUGCCAACCACUUAGAUGAACUGAACAAUAUAGCCCCGAAAUACUACUACUACUGCUACUGCGGAGGGGCUUUGUACUACUUCCGGCUACCUCUCCUCUGCCGAGCAUGCUCAGUAAGAGGCGGAGGAGGAGGAGCCUACCGACGAGCUGGGCAACCGCAAUGCAGUGCCUGCCACUAA